This 478-nucleotide ribosomal RNA is filed under the name uncultured bacterium. RNAcentral describes it as "bacterial SSU rRNA". It matches the Rfam family "Bacterial small subunit ribosomal RNA", at positions 29 to 506 of the family's 1533-position model. The record is from RNAcentral.
AUGAACGCUGGCGGCGUGCCUUACACAUGCAAGUCGAGCGAGGCGGGUAGCAAUACCCAGUCGAGCGGCGAACGGGUGAGUAACACGUGGAUGACCUGCCCUUCAGUGGGGAAUAACCCGGGGAAACUCGGGCUAAUACCGCAUACGACCGAGAGGUGAAAGGGGGCUCGCAAGAGCUCUCACUGAAGGAGGGGUCCGCGUCCGAUUAGCUAGUUGGUAGGGUAAUGGCCUACCAAGGCGACGAUCGGUAGCCGGCCUGAGAGGGUGAUCGGCCACACUGGAACUGAGACACGGUCCAGACUCCUACGGGAGGCAGCAGUGGGGAAUUUUGCGCAAUGGGCGAAAGCCUGACGCAGCAACGCCGCGUGGAGGAUGAAGGUCCUUGGAUUGUAAACUCCUGUCAGCGGGGAAAAAGCGACUGGACCUAAUACGUUCAGGAGUUGAUUGUACCCGCAGAGGAAGCCCCGGCUAACUCUGU